RNAcentral lists this ribosomal RNA (1485 nucleotides) under metagenome. RNAcentral describes it as "bacterial SSU rRNA". It matches the Rfam family "Bacterial small subunit ribosomal RNA". The record is from RNAcentral.
CCGCUGGCGGCGUGGCUAAUACAUGCAAGUCGAACGCGAACGGCUCUUCGGAGCUUAUUAGAGUGGCGAAAGGGCGAGGAAUACUUGGGUAACGUACCCUACACACCGGGAUAACUGUGGGAAACUACAGAUAAUACUGGAUGAGACCACGACUCGUAAGAGUUGUGCUCAAAGGGCGGGGAUCUCUUCGGAGACCCGUUGGUGUGGGAGCGGCCCAAGUCCUAUCAGGUUGUUGGUGAGGUAAUGGCUCACCAAGCCUACGACGGGUACCGGGACUGAGAGGUUGAUCCGGCGCAUUGGGACUGAGACACUGCCCAGACUCCUACGGGAGGCUGCAGUAACGAAUAUUGGACAAUGAGCGAAAGCUUGAUCCAGCGACGCCGCGUGUAGGAUGAAGUCCCUCGGGAUGUAAACUACUGUCAGGGACUACCAAGCAAGGACUGUUAAUACCGGUCUGCGUUGAGGAAUCCCAGAGGAAGCCACGGCUAACUUCGUGCCAGCAGCCGCGGUAAGACGAAGGUGGCGAGCGUUGUUCGGAAUUACUGGGCUUAAAGCGCAUGUAGGCGGAUCAUCAGGUGUCUUGUGAAAGCCCUCGGCUCAACCGAGGAACUGCUGGGCAAACCGAUGAUCUUGAGGCAGGUAGGGGCAACGGGAACUCUUGGUGGAGCGGUGGAAUGCGUAGAUAUCAAGAGGAACGCCAGAGGCGAAGGCGCGUUGCUGGGCCUGUCCUGACGCUGAGAUGCGAAAGCGUGGGUAGCGAACGGGAUUAGAUACCCCGGUAGUCCACGCCCUAAACGAUGUCAACUAGAUCGAGGGUUCUCUGACGGAUUCUUGGUCGAAAUGAAAACGGUAAGUUGACCGCCUGGGGAGUACGGUCGCAAGGCUAAAACUCAAAGGAAUUGACGGGGGCUCACACAAGCGGUGGAGCAUGUUGCUUAAUUCGAUCAACGCGAAGAACCUUAUCCUGGGCUUGACAUAUUUGGAUGACCAUCUGGAAACAGAGUAGUCUGCUCUUCGGAGUGAAACUUAUACAGGUGCUGCAUGGCUGUCGUCAGCUCGUGUUGUGAGAUGUUGGGUUAAGUCCCGUAACGAGCGAAACCCUUGUCGUUAGUUGCCAGCGCGUUAUGGCGGGGACUCUAGCGAGACUGCCGGUGUUAAACCGGAGGAAGGUGGGGAUGACGUCAAGUCCUCAUGGCCUUUAUGCCCAGGGCUGCAAACGUGCUACAAUGGCGUGUACAAACCGACGCAAGACCGCGAGGUGGAGCAAAUCGGAAAAAACACGCCCCAGUUCGGAUUGGAGUCUGCAACUCGACUCCAUGAAGUCGGAAUCGCUAGUAAUCGCGUAUCAGCGUGCCGCGGUGAAUGAGUUCCUGAGCCUUGUACACACCGCCCGUCAAGUCAUGGAAGCUGGUAGCACCUGAAGUCGCCCUAUUUCAGGGGUGCCGAAGGUGAGAUCGGUAACUGGGACUAAGUCGUAACAAGGUA